AACGCACGCGCAGAGUGACGUUCGUCGUAUCUAUUUAAACAAAGCUCGCUUUAGAGAUUGGAUCAAUUAAUAGGGACUUUGCGUACUUACGGUAAGAUCCACUAACAAUGGUCGAUAACAAAAGGCCAGACUGGAGCCUAUUGUCCCCUGCCGUAAUGCAAACGACUCGCUGACAGCGCGUUUAUAAGGGCGAACGUACGCGACGGUCGCAUUACAGUAGCGCAUCAUUAUAGCUAGAAGUCGCGACAAAAAGGCAUAACUACAGCACCACAAGACAGAGAUGUGCCGUUGGGGAUGUACGGAACACAAUUUGAUGUUCAAAUGCAAAUACUGUGGCACAAACUACUGCAAGUGUCGUGUAAGCGAGGAGAGUUCCACGGUGAGAUGGUUACCGAGACGACCUGUCGAGUCUGCAACCAGCCCAAGUGUCAAGGAGAGCGUAUACUCAUCAUUCGAACAACUACAGCGACAACCAAUCAAGCUAAAGCCAAGACAUCUAAAUCAGCGAAAAAGAAGAGCGAAAAAAACAGCAAGCCAAAGUCGUCUAAAAAAAGUCGCAAAAAAUAGAAUAAUAGAAAAAGCUUGAAAUAUCUAACCAUUCACAAAUAUUAUAGUAUAGAGGCAAUAAUUAUCACAAAUUGGAAUGUUUUUAUCCAAGAGACACCAGGCGAUUAAGUUUUUUUUAGGAGGGGGAAGAUAUGGCAAUGUGUGUAAGAUAUAACAAUGUGUGUAAGAUAUAACUCCCAAAAAUAUAGUGUGUGUGAAACGAGGAAAAUAUUUUUCCCGGCAAGGUAAUUUAUGGUUGAACGUUCCUAUAAAAAGUUUUUUUAUUUGUUCUUAUAUUAAUAGAAAUACUAGUCAACUAUUAGGAAAAAGGAGUUUGUUUAAAUAAAUAAAUACUCAGGGGCGUUAA
RNA transcript from Nematostella vectensis (starlet sea anemone), 913 nucleotides. RefSeq lists it as uncharacterized. The record is from RefSeq and is a predicted model, not a curated record. The transcript has 3 exons. NCBI's taxonomy places the organism in Eukaryota, Metazoa, Cnidaria, Anthozoa, Actiniaria, Edwardsiidae.